This 513-nucleotide ribosomal RNA is filed under the name uncultured bacterium. RNAcentral's name for it is "partial 16S ribosomal RNA". It matches the Rfam family "Bacterial small subunit ribosomal RNA", at positions 28 to 523 of the family's 1533-position model. The record is from RNAcentral.
GAUGAACGCUGGCGGCGUGCCUAAUACAUGCAAGUCGAACGCGCAGCGAAAGGUGCUUGCACCUUUCAAGCGAGUGGCGAACGGGUGAGUAACACGUGGAUAACCUGCCUCAAGGCUGGGGAUAACAUUUGGAAACAGAUGCUAAUACCGAAUAAAACUUAGUAUCGCAUGAUACAAAGUUAAAAGGCGCUACGGCGUCACCUAGAGAUGGAUCCGCGGUGCAUUAGUGAGUUGGUGGGGUAAAGGCUUACCAAGACGAUGAUGCAUAGCCGAGUUGAGAGACUGAUCGGCCACAUUGGGACUGAGACACGGCCCAAACUCCUACGGGAGGCUGCAGUAGGGAAUCUUCCACAAUGGGCGCAAGCCUGAUGGAGCAACGCCGCGUGUGUGAUGAAGGCUUUCGGGUCGUAAAGCACUGUUGUAUGGGAAGAAAUGCUAAAAUAGGGAAUGAUUUUAGUUUGACGGUACCAUACCAGAAAGGGACGGCUAAACACGUGCCAGCAGCCGCAGUAA